GCAGGCAGGGAAGGGGAUAUUUGAGUACUGUCCUUGAUAUAUCACCUAAUGUCUUUCUUUCAGGACCAUACAAACAGAGGAAUAUUUCAGAAGCAACUUAAGCAAAUAUGGGAAUAUCUGAUAAGGAAGAAGAAAGUGAAUGAGGAAAACGUCAUUCUGGAGAAGGAAAACAAGAAGUUCUGUGAACUCAGUCAAAGACUGAAGGAAAUAGAGGCUACACAGGAACAACAAAUCAUGGAGGAAUAGAAAAAGUGGCUGGCCAUGUUAUGUAGCCAAAGUAGAUUCCUAACAGCCAUAAUUACUAAACUGAAGGCAAAGAUGGAGAAACCAGAUGUAGAAAUGCUACAGGAUGUGGCAGAGACAUUGGAAAGGAGUCAUAUUGAACUGAAUUUACAACCUUUUGUACCAACUGUGGAUGCUUCAUAUAUCACUGAAGUGACCAAAUUAUUAAAAAUAAU
Molecule: long non-coding RNA, 458 nt
Organism: Sarcophilus harrisii (Tasmanian devil)
Lineage: Eukaryota; Metazoa; Chordata; Mammalia; Dasyuromorphia; Dasyuridae
Exons: 3
Source: RefSeq, a predicted model, not a curated record